Molecule: ribosomal RNA, 445 nt
Filed under: uncultured prokaryote
Description: bacterial SSU rRNA
Rfam family: Bacterial small subunit ribosomal RNA
Source: RNAcentral
AGUUUGAUCCUGGCUCAGGAUGAACGCUGGCGAGAUGCCUUAUACAUGCAAGUCGUACGAGAUUAAACUCAAGUGGCGGACGGGUGAGUAACACGUAAGAAUUUGCCUUUAGGAGGGGGACAACAACUGGAAACGGUUGCUAAUACCCCAUAUGCUUUCGAGUGAAAUGAAUUAUUUCGCCUAAAGAGAAGCUUGCGGCUGAUUAGCUUGUUGGUAAGGUAAUGGCUUACCAAGGCGACGAUCAGUAUCUGGUUUGAGAGGACGAUCAGACACACUGGAAAUGAGACACGGUCCAGACUCNUACGGGAGACAACAGUAGGGAAUUUUCCGCAAUGAGCGAAAGCUUGGCGGAGCAAUCUCGCGUGAGGGAUGACGGCCUAUGGGUUGUUAACCUCUUUUUUCAGGGAGNAAUAGAUUACGUGUACGUGAAGAAUAGCGACGGUAC